Molecule: ribosomal RNA, 490 nt
Filed under: uncultured bacterium
Lineage: Bacteria
Description: partial 16S ribosomal RNA
Rfam family: Bacterial small subunit ribosomal RNA
Source: RNAcentral
AUUGAACGCUGGCGGCAGGCCUAACACAUGCAAGUCGAACGGUAACAGGAAGAAGCUUGCUUCUUUGCUGACGAGUGGCGGACGGGUGAGUAAUGUCUGGGAAACUGCCUGAUGGAGGGGGAUAACUACUGGAAACGGUAGCUAAUACCGCAUAAUGUCGCAAGACCAAAGAGGGGGACCUUCGGGCCUCUUGCCAUCGGAUGUGCCCAGAUGGGAUUAGCUAGUAGGUGGGGUAACGGCUCACCUAGGCGACGAUCCCUAGCUGGUCUGAGAGGAUGACCAGCCACACUGGAACUGAGACACGGUCCAGACUCCUACGGGAGGCAGCAGUGGGGAAUAUUGCACAAUGGGCGCAAGCCUGUUGCAGCUAUGCCGCGUGUAUGAAGAAGGCCUUCGGGUUGUAAAGUACUUUCAGCGGGGAGGAAGGGAGUAAAGUUAAUACCUUUGCUCAUUGACGUUACCCGCAGAAGUAGCACCGGCUAACUCCGUG